RNAcentral lists this ribosomal RNA (252 nucleotides) under uncultured prokaryote. Its description in RNAcentral is "partial 16S ribosomal RNA". It matches the Rfam family "Bacterial small subunit ribosomal RNA", at positions 525 to 775 of the family's 1533-position model. The record is from RNAcentral.
ACAAAGGCGGCAAGCCUUGUUCGGAAUUAUUGGGCGUAAAGAGCACAUAGGCGGCCUUACAAGUCAAUUAUGAAAGCCUUCCGCUUAACGGAAAAACGGCAUCUGAUACUACAGGGCUUAAGUACAAAAAAAAAAAGUGGAACUUCUAAUGAAACAAUGAAAUACAUAAAUAUCAAAAAAAACGCCGGCGGCGAAAGCAACUCUCUGGGCCGAAACUGACACUAAGUGUGCGAAAGCUAGAAAAACAAACGG